CCUUGGUAGAUCUCAUCAUAGGUAUAGUGGUCUUAUCAGAUAUCCAAGAAUUACUGCCUGUGUUGAUCCUUUUUAUUAAAUGUUUGCUUUAUUUUUAUUUUCAGUUUUUUAAUAUUCUCCUUCUCCUUUCUUUUAAUUUUCACCAUCUUCCUUUGAUAAUUUUUUCUAACUUCAUGAGAUGUGUUCUUAUCUUGUUAAAUUUAAUCUUUCUCUACAUUACAAUGUAUUCAUCUGUGGUUAUAAUGUCCCCUCUACUUAACUGCUGCAUCCCACAAAUCUGAACAUAUGGUAUUUUUAUUAAGUUCAAAAUAAUUUUAAUAUGCAUUAUGCUAUCCAUUCCAGUAGAUAAGAUGCUCUUACUUCAGCUAGUUAGAAAUAGUUUUAAUUUACAAGCACAUAGUAAUGUUUUUAAAUUUAUUUUCAGCUUAAUUCCAUGGUUGUUCAGACAAUACAUCACAUAUAAAUCCAAUCUUUAAAAAAAUUAUCGAGACUUGAAUUAUGAACCAAUGUAUGGUCAAUUUUGGUAAACAUUUUGUUUGUGCUUAAAAAGACUUUGUGUUCUGAGGUUUUGGGAUACCAUGUUCUAUAUAAUUCUUUUAAGUCAAUUUGUUUCUAUACCAAUCCUUUUAUAGUUGUUGCACCUGCUUUGAAGGCUCUUUUCCUAUACAUUUGCAUGGACACUGCUUCAUUUCACUCAGACCUAUGCUUACAGAUGGUCUCCUCAGCCAGAUCUUCCCUCACUACCCUGUGUUAUUUUUCUUGAAGCCUGAGAGUACAUUAUGUCUGUUUGCUUAUUAUCAAUCUCCCUAACUGUAAUAGAAACUCCUUGAGGCAAACACAUCUCCCCUCUUAUUUACUGUGCUACUGUGCUAUCCCCAACACUCCAACACUUGAAAAGUAUUACAUACUUUUCAAUAAAUGUGUUUUGAAUGAUUAAGUGAAUGAAUUAAAAUUAAUACCCAACAGAGAACUCACUAUGUAUGUAUGUAUGUAUGUAUGUAUGUGCAUGUAAAUAUCCAUAGUAUAAAAGCUUAACCCCACUUUUUUCCUUCAAUAGAUUUGGCAUUGCUCACAUAGGCACAGGUUAAAUAUGGAGGAGGAAAUGGAGAAUAAGAAGAUUCUGUUAUAGAGAUCAUCUAAAGCAGAAGCACCUGACUUCUUUUGCCCAUUUACCUGCUACAUCCCAAGAGAGAAGGAAUGACUAAUAUGAUUAGUCAGAUGACACUCCAAGAGCCUGCCAGCAGGUCAUAUGCUUUCUGCUGCCAUAGCCUACCUGGGGUACCCUGGUCUGCUAGGAUUUGUCAGGUCGUGAAUCAGAGUGAAGCUGGAACAGGAAAGAUUAGACAGACACACAUGGAAUCUGAAGCAGGCUCCAGGAUCUGAGCUGUCAGCACAGAGCCU
Felis catus (domestic cat) is the source of this 1401-nucleotide long non-coding RNA. RefSeq lists it as uncharacterized. The transcript is spliced from 4 exons. The record is from RefSeq and is a predicted model, not a curated record. Lineage: Eukaryota; Metazoa; Chordata; Mammalia; Carnivora; Felidae.